GAUGAACGCUGGCGGCGUGCCUAAUACAUGCAAGUCGAGCGAACGGACGAGAAGCUUGCUUCUCUGAUGUUAGCGGCGGACGGGUGAGUAACACGUGGAUAACCUACCUAUAAGACUGGGAUAACUUCGGGAAACCGGAGCUAAUACCGGAUAAUAUUUUGAACCGCAUGGUUCAAAAGUGAAAGACGGUCUUGCUGUCACUUAUAGAUGGAUCCGCGCUGCAUUAGCUAGUUGGUAAGGUAACGGCUUACCAAGGCAACGAUGCAUAGCCGACCUGAGAGGGUGAUCGGCCACACUGGAACUGAGCCACGGUCCAGACUCCUACGGGAGGCAGCAGUAGGGAAUCUUCCGCAAUGGGCGAAAGCCUGACGGAGCAACGCCGCGUGAGUGAUGAAGGUCUUCGGAUCGUAAAACUCUGUUAUUAGGGAAGAACAUAUGUGUAAGUAACUGUGCACAUCUUGACGGUACCUAAACAGAAAGCCACGGCUAACUACGUG
RNAcentral lists this ribosomal RNA (497 nucleotides) under uncultured bacterium. Its description in RNAcentral is "partial 16S ribosomal RNA". It matches the Rfam family "Bacterial small subunit ribosomal RNA", at positions 28 to 507 of the family's 1533-position model. The record is from RNAcentral.